RNAcentral lists this long non-coding RNA (237 nucleotides) under Elaeis guineensis (African oil palm). Its description in RNAcentral is "long non-coding RNA (EGUI_LNC052811)". The record is from RNAcentral. Lineage: Eukaryota; Viridiplantae; Streptophyta; Magnoliopsida; Arecales; Arecaceae.
AACCAUGUGUGGCAUCUUUCCGAACUCCCCCGACCAUCCGAGCUUUUGUAAUACCAUCUGGACUUCUCCAAUAAUGGGCUCCUCCAUUCAUCUACCGGGCUGCUCCAGCCAAUUUUCUACAGUGAUCGACUAUUCUCCAAAUCUCAGCCUAGACUUCUUCCGGCCACGAACAACUUUACUCCGAACUUCUUUCGGGCUUCAUCGACAUCCGAGCUUCUCCAACAAUAAGACUUCUAC